This 76-nucleotide transfer RNA is filed under the name Chloroflexota bacterium. Its description in RNAcentral is "Chloroflexi bacterium tRNA-Glu". It matches the Rfam family "tRNA". Rfam says of the family: Transfer RNA (tRNA) molecules are approximately 80 nucleotides in length. Their secondary structure includes four short double-helical elements and three loops (D, anti-codon, and T loops). Lineage: Bacteria; Bacillati; Chloroflexota. The record is from RNAcentral.
GCCCCCAUCGUCUAGGGGACUAGGACGUGGGCCUUUCAAGCCUAAAACCGGGGUUCGAAUCCCCGUGGGGGCACUA